UAUAAUUGAAGUCUGGAAUGAAAGAAAAGACGGGUGAUUGCUGUCUCUUAAAAGUGUAAGAAGUUAUUUAAUAAGUGCAAAUACUUAUAGAUAAAUAAUAGACGAGAAGACCCUAGAAAUUUUUUAAAAAGUGGGUUAACCUAACUAAUAUUUUGUUGGGGCGACAGAAUAACAGUUAACUUAUCUUAAUAAUAUGGACUACGUAAAGAGAAAAAUUAAAUUACUCUAGGGAUAACAGCAUAAUUUAUACAAGUUUGUGACCUCGAUGUUGGACUAGGGAUCUUAAUACUUAGAAGACGUUAAGGAAGGCUCUGUUCGAGCGCUCUCACCCUACAUGAUCUGAGUUCAAACCGGA
RNAcentral lists this ribosomal RNA (355 nucleotides) under Xerocrassa geyeri. RNAcentral's name for it is "partial 16S ribosomal RNA". Lineage: Eukaryota; Metazoa; Mollusca; Gastropoda; Stylommatophora; Geomitridae. The record is from RNAcentral.